RNAcentral lists this microRNA precursor (64 nucleotides) under Danio rerio (zebrafish). RNAcentral describes it as "Dre-Mir-23-P4a_pre stem-loop". It matches the Rfam family "mir-23 microRNA precursor family", at positions 10 to 68 of the family's 73-position model. Lineage: Eukaryota; Metazoa; Chordata; Actinopteri; Cypriniformes; Danionidae. The record is from RNAcentral.
GGGUUCCUGGCACCGUGAUUUGGUGGAUAAACAGAAAUGAAAAUCACAUUGCCAGGGAUUUCCA